CUCUCCCCGAUUUGGGGCUGAUUUUGGGGUGGAUUUUUCAGGAAUUUUUGGCUCAUUUUUUGGGGAUAAUUUGGGGCUGAUUUUGGGGAUAAUUUCAGGAUGAUUUUGGGUUGAAUUUUUGAUAUUUUGGUCCAUUUCAGUGCCCUGCACGCUGCUGCUCUCCCCGAUUUGGGGCUGAUUUUGGGGUGGAUUUUUCAGGAAUUUUUGGGUUUUUUUGGCUCAUUUUUUGGGGAUAAUUUCAGGAUGAUUUUGGGAUAAUUUCAGGAUGAUUUUGGGUUAAUUCCCGCUGAUUUUGGUGCAUUCCAGUGCCCUGCACGCUGCUGCUCUCCCCGAUUUGGGGCUGAUUUUGGGGUGGAUUUUUCAGGAAUUUUUUGGGUUUUUUUGGCUCAUUUUUUGGGGAUAAUUUCAGGAUUAUUUUGGGAUAAUUUCAGGAUGAUUUUGGGGUUGAAUUUGGGUUGAAUCUGUGAUGUUUUGGUGCAUUCCCAGUGCCCUGCACGCUGCUGCUCUCCCUGAUUUGGGGCUGAUUUUUCAGGAAUUUUUGGGGAAUUUUUGGCUCAUUUUUUGGGGAUAAUUUCAGGAUAAUUUCAGGAUGAUUUUGGGGUUGAUUUUGGGUUGAAUUUGCGAUAUUUUGGUGCAUUCCAGUGCCCUGCAC
RNAcentral lists this long non-coding RNA (652 nucleotides) under Zonotrichia albicollis (white-throated sparrow). RNAcentral describes it as "lncRNA (ENSZALG00000001782.1)". The record is from RNAcentral. Lineage: Eukaryota; Metazoa; Chordata; Aves; Passeriformes; Passerellidae.